GUCCACGCCGUAAACGGUGGGCGCUAGGUGUGGGUUCCUUCCACGGAAUCCGUGCCGUAGCUAACGCAUUAAGCGCCCCGCCUGGGGAGUACGGCCGCAAGGCUAAAACUCAAAGGAAUUGACGGGGGCCCGCACAAGCGGCGGAGCAUGUGGAUUAAUUCGAUGCAACGCGAAUAACCUUACCUGGGUUUGACAUAUACCGGAAAGCCGUAGAGAUACGGCCCCCUUGUGGUCGGUAUACAGGUGGUGCAUGGCUGUCGU
This 261-nucleotide ribosomal RNA is filed under the name uncultured bacterium. RNAcentral describes it as "partial 16S ribosomal RNA". It matches the Rfam family "Bacterial small subunit ribosomal RNA", at positions 793 to 1055 of the family's 1533-position model. The record is from RNAcentral.